This 477-nucleotide ribosomal RNA is filed under the name uncultured bacterium. RNAcentral's name for it is "bacterial SSU rRNA". It matches the Rfam family "Bacterial small subunit ribosomal RNA", at positions 365 to 832 of the family's 1533-position model. The record is from RNAcentral.
UUCGCAAUGCCCGAAAGGGUGACGAAGCGACGCCGCGUGUGGGAAGAAGGCCUUCGGGUUGUAAACCACUGUCGGGAGUUAAGAAAUGCAAGGAUAUUAAUAGUGUCUUUGUUUGACUAAGGCUCCGGAGGAAGCCACGGCUAACUCUGUGCCAGCAGCCGCGGUAAUACAGAGGCGGCAAGCGUUGUUCGGAAUUAUUGGGCGUAAAGAGCACGUAGGCGGCUAUGUAAGUCGGUUGUGAAAGCCUUCCGCUCAACGGAAGAACAGCAUCCGAUACUACAUGGCUUGAGUGCGGGAGGGGAAAGUGGAACUUCUGGUGGAGCGGUGAAAUGCGUAGAUAUCAGAAGGAACGCCGGCGGCGAAAGCGGCUCUCUGGCCCGUAACUGACGCUGAGUGUGCGAAAGCUAGGGGAGCAAACGGGAUUAGAUACCCCGGUAGUCCUAGCCGUAAACGAUGGGCACUAAGUAGAGGGGUUUU